RNAcentral lists this small RNA (648 nucleotides) under Pongo abelii (Sumatran orangutan). RNAcentral describes it as "processed transcript". The record is from RNAcentral. Lineage: Eukaryota; Metazoa; Chordata; Mammalia; Primates; Hominidae.
GCCCAAAUGUCCUGACGUGGUUCCAAAUACCAAUCCCACACUUCUUGACCAUUGUCCUGUGGACAAUAACUUGGAAUAAAUGUGAAACUGAAGUCUGAGUGCCCAUCAGAGAGUGUCCCAAUCCAACCAGUCUAUAAGAAGAUCUGGGGUGACAUGUCUGAGAGUAAAGCCAAAAAGAUAGAAAUCAAGGACGUGGAUGGGCAGACGCUGAGUAAGCUGAUUGACUACAUCUAUACUGCUGAAAUCGAGGUGACCGAAGAGAAUGUCCAGGUGCUGCUCCCGGCAGCCAGCUUGCUGCAGCUCAUGGAUGUUCGGCAGAACUGCUGUGACUUCCUGCAGUCUCAGUUGCAUCCCACCAAUUGCCUGGGCAUCCGUGCGUUUGCAGAUGUGCACACCUGCACUGACCUUCUGCAGCAGGCCAAUGCCUACGCAGAGCAGCACUUUCCAGAGGUGAUGCUAGGAGAAGAAUUUCUUAGCCUGAGUCUGGACCAGGUGUGCAGCUUGAUAUCCAGCGACAAGCUGACCGUUUCUUCAGAAGAGAAGACACAAAGUUCAGCUCUGGCCAUGAACAUCCUCAGUGACCCAGUGACCCAGGGGCAGAAUAAACAACCUUCUGGGACAAAUCCACUCUAAGGAAAGAGAUAUGAC